GAGGAAGUAAAAGUCGUAACAAGGUUUCCGUAGGUGAACCUGCGGAAGGAUCAUUAUCGAGAGAGGAGGUUCUGCCUCCCGGGGGCUUCGGCCCUCAACUCUUCACCCGCUGUGUAUCUACUUAAGUUGCUUUGGCGGGCUUCGGGCGCUGACCCGCGUGGGUUUCGGGGACUCUUCCCUACCGUCCGCGAGCGCCCGCCAGAGGCCCCUUCAUUCUGAUUUAUUCGUAUCGUCCGAGCAAACUUGAAAUGACAAAAAAAACUUUCAACAACGGAUCUCUUGGUUCCAGCAUCGAUGAAGAACGCAGCGAAACGCGAUAGGUAAUGUGAAUUGCAGAAUUCAGUGAAUCAUCGAAUCUUUGAACGCACAUUGCGCCCCUUGGCAUUCCGAGGGGCAUGUCUGUUCGAGCGUCAUUGCAUCCCUCAAGCGUAGCUUGGUAUUGGGAGUUGCCCCCCGCGGCGGCCCCGAAAAGCGUCGGCCGUCCGGCGUGGACUUUCGAGCGUAGUAACUCUCCCGUUCUGGAAUCCACGCUGCGGACGGGCCACAACCCCUUACAUUCAAUGAUUGACCUCGGAUCAGGCAGGGAUACCCGCUGAACUUAAGCAUAUCAAA
RNAcentral lists this ribosomal RNA (612 nucleotides) under Neoprotoparmelia corallifera. RNAcentral's name for it is "eukaryotic LSU rRNA". The stretch from base 260 to 413 matches the Rfam family "5.8S ribosomal RNA". The record is from RNAcentral. Lineage: Eukaryota; Fungi; Ascomycota; Lecanoromycetes; Lecanorales; Parmeliaceae.